AUGGAUAACUGUAGUAAUUCUAGAGCUAAUACAUGCAAUUAUGCCCUGACCCGCAAGGGAACGGGUGCAUUUAUUAGAACAGAACCAACCGGGGGCAGUUUCGGCUGUCUCUGUUGAAUUCUGUGAUGACUCUGGAUAACUUUAAUGAUCGCAGUCGGCCUUGUGUCGGCGACGGAUCUUUCAAAUGUCUGCCCUAUCAAUUUGUUGGUAGGUGAUCUGCCUACCAUGAUAAUAACGGGUAACGGGGAAUCAGGGUUCGAUUCCGGAGAGGGAGCCUGAGAAAUGGCUACCACAUCCAAGGACGGCAGCAGGCGCGAAAAUUACCCACUCCCGGCACGGGGAGGUAGUGACGAAAAAUACGAAUACGGGACUCAAUUGAGGCUCCGUAAUUCGAAUGAGUACAAUUUAAAUCCUUUAACGAGGACCAAUUGGAGGGCAAGUCUGGUGCCAGCAGCCGCGGUAACUCCAGCUCCAAAAGCGUAUAUUAAAGUUGCUGCAGUUAAAAAGCUCGUAGUUGAACCUGGGUUGUGCGGUCGCAUGCCGUUGCUUGUUCGCGGUUUUGGUUACGAUCAGAACUUGUGUUCGGCUCGGUGUAGUGGUUGUGCAGCCUUUCAGCCGUAUCUGUGUAAACGGGUGCUGACGGAGAUGGGUGAGUUUAUUCUUGCCCGCUAUCUGUUGGCAUGCUUCCGGAUGCCUUUAACCGGGUGUCGGGAGCGGACGGCAUCUUUACUUUGA
Molecule: ribosomal RNA, 735 nt
Filed under: Trichobilharzia querquedulae
Lineage: Eukaryota; Metazoa; Platyhelminthes; Trematoda; Strigeidida; Schistosomatidae
Description: SSU rRNA
Rfam family: Eukaryotic small subunit ribosomal RNA
Source: RNAcentral